GCAGAGAAGGCUGCAGAACUUAAACAUGUCCUUGCAGUUUUGGAUGAUCUCCCAACUGAAGAGCUGGGUGCAAAGAUCAAAGAGUAUGGCAUUGUGGCUCCAGACACAAAAAAUCCCCUUUCGGAUCCCUAUCCAUUCAACUUAAUGUUUCAAACAUCAAUUGGCCCUUCUGGUCUGCUCCCUGGUUAUAUGCGUCCUGAAACAGCAC
This 208-nucleotide unclassified non-coding RNA is filed under the name Hevea brasiliensis (rubber tree). The record is from RNAcentral. Lineage: Eukaryota; Viridiplantae; Streptophyta; Magnoliopsida; Malpighiales; Euphorbiaceae.